UACGUAGGGGGCAAGCGUUGUCCGGAUUUAUUGGGCGUAAAGAGCGUGUAGGCGGCCAAGCAGGUCCGCUGUGAAAACUCGAGGCUCAACCUCGAGAGGUCGGUGGAAACCGUUUGGCUAGAGUCCGGAAGAGGAGAGUGGAAUUCCCGGUGUAGCGGUGAAAUGCGCAGAUAUCAGGAGGAACACCGAUGGCGAAGGCAGGUCACUGGGCCGCAACUGACGCUGAGGAGCGAAAGCAUGGGGAGCGAACAGG
RNAcentral lists this ribosomal RNA (253 nucleotides) under uncultured bacterium. Its description in RNAcentral is "partial 16S ribosomal RNA". It matches the Rfam family "Bacterial small subunit ribosomal RNA", at positions 524 to 776 of the family's 1533-position model. The record is from RNAcentral.